Cebus imitator (Panamanian white-faced capuchin) is the source of this 4576-nucleotide long non-coding RNA. RefSeq lists it as uncharacterized. The transcript has 2 exons. The record is from RefSeq and is a predicted model, not a curated record. NCBI's taxonomy places the organism in Eukaryota, Metazoa, Chordata, Mammalia, Primates, Cebidae.
UCAAGACCAGCCUGGCCAACAUGGUGAAACCUUAUCUUUAAAAAACAACUCAGGAAAAGAUCAGAAAUAGAAACUCUUUUCAGAAAUGAGAACUAAACUAGAUGGAAUAUAAGAACCAGUCAAUUCAAAAGACAAUGCCUUAACAAAAACAAAAGAAAACCAGAAAACUUCAAUAUUCAAAAAUACAGCAAAAAGAAUCAAAUCUCAACAAUAUAUUUUAAAACAGGUAAAAAAUAUUUUUAAAAAGGUGAAAAAUAUUGAAAAUAGGCAAAGAAGAUUGAAUAUAUGACUAACUGGAGUGCCUGAAGAAGAAAAGCAAAGCAAUAAUCAAAACCAAUGCUGAUUCAAGAAAAUUUUCCUGAAAUUAAAAAAAAGAGGUAUGAAAUUGUGUAUUUCAAAUAUGUUGAACGACCACAUUGUAUUCCUGUUCUACAGAACCAGAAUGACUACCAAAGACAAUCUAAUAAAAUUACUGAACUUUAAAGCAAACAACAACAACAAUUCUUGGGCAUGUAGCUAAAAAAAAAAAAGACGUAUUAACAAAAGAAAAUUGAGAUUAUCAUUAGACUUUGACAGCAACACUUUGCCAGAAGAAAGUGAAGUAACACAUUCAAGAUACUCAAAAUAGAAUGUACGAGCCAGGGAACUUACAUUCAGCGAAACUGACUUUCAUGUUUAAAGGACAAAGAAAAGCGAUGAUCAACUUUUAACAACGGAGGGAAUAUUAUUCCCAGGAACUUUCCUAGGGAAUUUACCAGGGAGCAAGUGUCAGGCAAUAAAGAAUGACUCCAGAGACAUCACCAUUAGGACUGGUGGUAAGAGACAGUCACCCGAAGACUGAGAGGGAGAGAGUAUCUUACGUAAUGGCUGCAUGCUCUAGCAAUGUAAAUACAGCCAAACUAGUCAAAAAUAGGAGGAAAGAACAUACAAAAAAAUAGUUAAAAGGUCUUCUGUAAUUAUGCUCAUGGUAGUAUUUGUAUCAUUUUUGGAGAAUAUGAAACUAAAUUAGUAAUUCUGGAGUAUUCUAUUAUUCCUUGUGCCCUUGAGAACCAGAAUUUUCAUGUGGGAGAAAGGAAAUCCAAAUGUAAUAGAGAAGAGGUUAAGUAAAAGCUCUGUAGUCUUGAAUUUUAAUUGGAAGUAUCAAUAUAAAUGGCAAGAGAUUUACAUACAUAAGCAUGUUUCCUAGCUCUGUUCCCUGAAAAGGCCUAGAAACAAUGGCCAACCCAGUAGCAAUGAGUAUCCUAAGCCAGGUUUUGGUCUUGAGAUGUAAUUUCUCACUGAAAGAAACCAGUGUUUCCUGAAGAAAUGUCUGAUGCCAGGUUUGGAGGCAGGAAACGUACAAGAUGAGCCUGGAACCUUUUGUAGUAUCAGAUAGCAAGAGAGCUAUCAAAGACUGCUAGGUUCAUGUAGAAAAAAGUACUCAGGUGUGAACCUGAAGUAUUUCUCACUGACCGAAGAUGGGGGGUUUGGGGUUUAAUAAUUAUUUUAAUAAUUAAAUUAAACAAAUUAAAUAAAAAAUAAUUACAAUGAACCAAGAUGCAUCAAACGAGUUUAAAUUCACCAGGCAAUUGUGUGUGUGUGUGUGUGUGUGUGUGUGUGUGUGUAUGAAUCUAAAGGUGACAACUCAUAUAUAUAUGAGUUCACAUACAUAUAGAUAUAUGAGUUCAUAUAUAUAUACACACACACAUACAAUAUAAUUGUCACCUUUGGAGGAUGAUAGGGAACAACAAUUCAUUAUAUUAAAAGUGGUAAUUAAAGGGAGUCUAACAUUUAUUUUGCUUUGGCUUGUAUGAACACUAACACUGGUAAAUAUUAAAUGGGAGAAAUUGUCUCUUUAUAAAAAUAUUCCAACUAAUAAAUAAAAAAUAAGUUAUAAACUUAGAAUAUUACCAUUUUUCAACUCCCAGUGAAUAAAUCGAUAUAGAUAUUAACCACAUUGGCUACUAAGAUCACUAAAAGAGACAAAACGAGACCUGGUAUGUCUCCUGCAGUCUUGUAAAAGGGACUGAACCUCAGUCUAUCCAAUCUCUGGAUCAACUGUCAACUAGCAAGAAAUACAAGGGACAGAGGAACAUGGUGAGCUGCACCAGGAUUAUGCCACCAGCAAAACUCACACACUGGGAAAUCUCCACAGGCUUCAUCAACAAAUAAACUGUAAGUAAAUGAACAGGGUGAAGGAGGAACCCGUAAGUUGAAAGAGAAUUAAAAGUCGUAUCUUUUUAAAACAGAAAAACUCACCUAUAGUUUCUAGGCAUAAACAUUUGGGUAAUAAAACUAUUUUUUUAAAAAAUGCAAGUGAUUACCAUGAAAGUCAAGGUAGUGGUUACUUAUGGAGGAAAGGAAAGAGCUGGGAUCAAAGGGAGCUCUAGGGUGGGUAGGAAAGUUCUGUUUCUUGUUUUAGAAAGUAUUGGUCUUAUAAAAAUUCAUUACAUCAACCAUUUGAUUAAGGCAGUUUUCUUUAUCUGUUUUAUUUAAAAGCAAAUAGAUUUUUAAAGGUAUAAUGGUACCUAUCUAGUGGGAAAUAAUGUAGAUUGAAUGCCAGCAUUUCUUUUGAACAGUGUCAACAUGAUGAGGAUUAUUAGUAUAUUUUCCACUAAAAGACAUACACUUUGAGAAAGAAAAUCUAAUAUCGACUCAACUGUUUCCUCAUAGGACAAAAUGUAGAGAAAACUCAGCUAUAAAUUGAAUGGUUACUUUGGUAUAUUUUAAAAACUAAUAUUAAGCUCUUAUCAAGAGCCAGCUACCGUGCUGUAUUACCUAAAUUAAUCUGCACACCAAUCCUAUGAGGCAGAUUACAUUUAGUCUGCCCAUUUUAUAGAUGACAAAGCCGAAGCCAAGGAAUUAAGUAACUUGCCCAAAAUUACGUAAAUAGAAAAGUGGUACCUGGAAGCCAGGUCUAGCUGACUCCUAUAAGUAGAUUCCAUCUCCUUUCUUCAGUGCCUGCCACGGGGCCUGGUACAGAGUAGGUGCCAGCAUUUUUUUAAAAAAUAGAAUUAGACUGUCAUGCUGAGUCCUAAAGAUCAGCAAACAGAUAUUAAGAUGACAUAAGCUACUCCCUGGAGCACCACUUUUUGGAAAAAGAGAAAAAAGAAGCGAUGAGUUCCUUUGAGCCCAGCAGUCACAGAGACCCUCCUGUAGGACAGACUGGUCUCCUCAGCACUAGGGCUCGAGUCCAAGCUGGCAAGAUGCUUUCUGCAUCAAGAUUAAAUGUGUCUGGGAAACCAGAGAGACGAAAGAAACAGCUACAUGCUGCUGACAGCAGGGAGUACAGGCAAAAAUGUUUUCUGUACCCCAGGAAUGCAAAGUCACCACCCUGACACAUUGAAUUAUCAGCUUUAUACUAAGAAGCAAGAUGCUAGAGGAGUUCAUGUUUCCUCCCUAGAUGCUGGAAACCAUCACCAAAGAGGAUCAGAAGCAGCAUGGGACCAGUGGAAAAACUAUCCUGACUGACACACUGAUUAAGUUGCUGGACCUAGAGGACCAAGUAGCAGCCUGUGGUCCUGAGCUAGGAAAGCCGAAUGAUGGCUCGGCUCUGUGUCUCAAGACCACCUGUAGGCCCAAAACCUCUGUCUGGCCAGACAAGAAAUGCUUUGGAAAAAGAAUGUGCUUUUCUGUUUUUGAGAUUCACAGCCACGGAACCGGUAAAAUGAACACAGCUGGUAUCUUAAUUCCAUGGUCUUAGAGCAAGAAAAAUUAACCAUCCACCAUAGCUCUAGCAGUGCUUCCUAAACUGUUGUGAGGAGUACUAGGUGCAAGGAAUGCUAAUAGGUAUUUUGUGGAAAGGGCCUUCUGAAAAAUGCCGGGUCAAACAAAGUGAACUCGAUUUCUCUAUAGCUGGACUUAAGUAGUGUACACUGUUAAUAUAUUUAAAAAGUAAUAGUAGGUGUAAAAUGCAACAAUUCCAAAUUUUAUGGGAUCAGAAAAUAUACCAACAUCUUUGGUUCUAAUAUUUCAAGGAACAGGGUUCUGGAAAUGCUGGCUUAUGAUAUUAGUGCUGAAUCCUGCAGUGGCCAACAUGGUCUCUCAGGGCCUGGAAACUGACCUCUCCUCUGCUUGAUCCUCAGCCACACCCCUUCUGCCUGUGCUCCAGCCACAGGAGCACUCACAGUACCCAACGAUGCCACAUGCCUUCAAGGCUGCUUGCCUCUGCUCAUGCCACUUCCUGCCCCCUGCUCCUGGGGAGCUCCUAUUCCUCCUGUGAGGCCUCAUUCCAGACACAUCCAUCCCUGGGAAGCUUCGCCUCAGCAACCAGUCUGCAGUGAUUAGCCCUGCAUUUAAAUGUCUACCAGCCUGUGCAUUCUACUACAGCGCCCACCCCUUCCUGCAGCUCUCUGCUUCCUUUCCUCCUCUGCCUUUCACUGUCUUUGACAGUGGCCAGGUCUUAUUUGUCAGUGUGUGCAAGUCAGUGCCUUGGCCCUGUCUGCAGUGAGGACCACUACUGCAAGAUUUCAAAUGCCUGUUCCAUGUUCUCCUAAUAAGGCUUGAUUAUAACAUAUUUACAAUUCACUAUAACUCAAAGUUCCAUUGUUAAUGCAAUCACUGAUAAAUAAACCUUAUAUGAAUGUGGCUACUUUUA